RNAcentral lists this transfer RNA (76 nucleotides) under Chloroflexota bacterium. RNAcentral's name for it is "Chloroflexi bacterium tRNA-Ala". It matches the Rfam family "tRNA". Rfam says of the family: Transfer RNA (tRNA) molecules are approximately 80 nucleotides in length. RNAcentral also lists the same sequence under 1 other name. Lineage: Bacteria; Bacillati; Chloroflexota. The record is from RNAcentral.
GGGGAUGUAGCUCAGAUGGGAGAGCGCUGCGUUCGCAAUGCAGAGGUCGGGAGUUCGAUCCUCCCCAUCUCCACCA